This 519-nucleotide long non-coding RNA is filed under the name Oryza sativa Indica Group (long-grained rice). RNAcentral describes it as "lncRNA OsMH63_07G026820". The record is from RNAcentral. Lineage: Eukaryota; Viridiplantae; Streptophyta; Magnoliopsida; Poales; Poaceae.
CUUGUCGAUCUUGUGGACGAGCGUGUUCAUCUCGGCCUGGAAGUCGUCGUACAAGGGCUUGACGUCGGAGUUGAAGGCGUACUCGGCGAGGCUAUCCAUGGGCGCCCUGUGGCUGACGGCUUCCAGGGCGUCGUCCAGCAAGACGUGGGUCACCGCCGCGAGGCCUCGCAGCGCUCGCAGAUAAUCGGAUGGUCGUCGCGGCGGCGCCGGCGGUGCGCCGCCGCCGUCGCCUUUCUGGCACUGCACCGCCGUCAGAGGCGUCUUGGGAGGCAGCAAUUACGUUGGCUCGCCGCCGGCGAGAUGGCCGGCGAGGUAAGCGGACUCCUCCUGAUCGACAAUGCCGUCGCCGGCGAACACGAAAAGAGACAGCUCUGCAGCGUGGUGGCCAUGGCGAUCGAGCAGAUUGUUGGACACGAUCGAGAACAAUGUACUGUUCCAAUUGCAGAAAGUGGCGAUCAAGUAGCUUGUCGGCCACGAUCGAAACAAUGUACUGUUGCAAUUGCAGACUCAGAGAGUUAG